RNAcentral lists this ribosomal RNA (499 nucleotides) under Rhinoscapha thomsoni. RNAcentral's name for it is "partial 16S ribosomal RNA". The stretch from base 350 to 499 matches the Rfam family "Bacterial large subunit ribosomal RNA", at positions 2473 to 2622 of the family's 2925-position model. Lineage: Eukaryota; Metazoa; Arthropoda; Insecta; Coleoptera; Curculionidae. The record is from RNAcentral.
AUGAGGAAUUAAAUGGCCGCGGUAUUUUGACCGUGCAAAGGUAGCAUAAUCAUUAGUUUUUUAAUUGAAAGCUGGAAUGAAAGGUUGGAUGAGAAAAUAACUGUCUCUAUUUAAAUUAGUUAGAAUUUUAUUUUUAAGUAAGAAAGCUUAAAUGAAAAUAGAAGACGAGAAGACCCUAUAGAGUUUUAUAUAUUUUAAUUUAAAAAGGUUUUAGAAUUAAGAAAUUUUUAUAUUAAUAUUUAUUUAGUUGGGGUGAUUGAAAAAUUAGAAAAACUUUUUUUAGUAUAUUAACAUUAAUUUAUGAUUAGUUGAUCCUUAAAUAAAGAUUAAAAGAAAAAAUUACCUUAGGGAUAACAGCGUAAUUUUUUUAAAGAGUUCAAAUCGAAAAAAAAGAUUGCGACCUCGAUGUUGGAUUAAAAUAAAAUUUUGGUGUAGAAGCUAAAAUAUUUGGGUCUGUUCGACCCUUAAAAUUUUACAUGAUCUGAGUUUAAACCGGCGU